UGACUUCCUGCAACAGUGAACCUAGA
Molecule: non-coding RNA, 26 nt
Filed under: Homo sapiens (human)
Lineage: Eukaryota; Metazoa; Chordata; Mammalia; Primates; Hominidae
Source: RNAcentral